This 671-nucleotide ribosomal RNA is filed under the name uncultured archaeon. Its description in RNAcentral is "bacterial SSU rRNA". It matches the Rfam family "Archaeal small subunit ribosomal RNA", at positions 1 to 681 of the family's 1478-position model. The record is from RNAcentral.
UUCCGGUUGAUCCUGCCGGAGGCUACUGCUAUCGGGAUUCGAUUAAGCCAUGCGAGUCGAGAGGGUUCGGCCCUCGGCUGACUGCUCAGUAACACGUGGAUAACUUGCCCUCAGGUAGGGGAUAAUCUCGGGAAACUGAGGAUAAUACCCUAUAGACAUCCUUUGCUGGAACGCUUGGAUGUUCAAAGGUAACGCCUGAGGAUAGGUCUGCGGCCUAUCAGGUUGUAGUGGGUGUAAUGGACCCACUAGCCCGCGACGGGUACGGGCCUUGAAAGAGGUAGCCCGGAGAUGGACUCUGAGACACGAGUCCAGGCCCUACGGGGCGCAGCAGGCGCGAAAACUUCGCAAUGCGGGAAACCGUGACGAGGGAAUCCCGAGUGCUCAUACAAUGUAUGGGCUUUUCUUAUGUGUAAAUAGCAUGAGGAAUAAGGGCUGGGUAAGACCGGUGCCAGCCGCUGCGGUAAUACCGGCAGCUCUAGUGGUAGCCACUUUUAUUGGGCCUAAAGCGUCCGUAGCCGGUCAGGUAAAUCCUUGGGUAAAUCGUACAGCUUAACUGUGCGGCUUCCGGGGAGACUGCCUGACUUGAGACCGGGAGAGGUUGGAGGUACUCCUGGGGUAGGGGUGAAAUCCUGUAAUCCUAGGUGGACCACCGGUGGCGAAGGCGUCCAACC